RNAcentral lists this ribosomal RNA (531 nucleotides) under uncultured bacterium. RNAcentral describes it as "bacterial SSU rRNA". It matches the Rfam family "Bacterial small subunit ribosomal RNA", at positions 991 to 1525 of the family's 1533-position model. The record is from RNAcentral.
ACUAACGAAGUAGAGAUACAUUAGGUGCCCUUCGGGGAGAGUCGAGACAGGUGGUGCAUGGUUGUCGUCAGCUCGUGUCGUGAGAUGUUGGGUUAAGUCCCGCAACGAGCGCAACCCUUAUUGUUAGUUGCUACGCAAGAGCACUCUAGCAAGACUGCCGUUGACAAAACGGAGGAAGGUGGGGAUGACGUCAAAUCAUCAUGCCCUUUAUGACCUGGGCUACACACGUACUACAAUGGCGGCGAACAGAGGGGAGCAAAGAGGUGACUCAGAGCAAAUCCCAAAAAGCCGUCUCAGUUCAGAUUGCAGGCUGCAACUCGCCUGCAUGAAGACGGAAUUGCUAGUAAUCGCGAAUCAGCAUGUCGCGGUGAAUACGUUCCCGGGCCUUGUACACACCGCCCGUCAAACCAUGAGAGUUGGGAAUACCCGAAGUCUGUAAUCUAACCGCAAGGAGGAUGCAGCCGAAGGUAGGCUCAAUGAUUGGGGUUAAGUCGUAACAAGGUAGCCGUAUCGGAAGGUGCGGUUGGAUCA